This 501-nucleotide ribosomal RNA is filed under the name uncultured bacterium. RNAcentral's name for it is "partial 16S ribosomal RNA". It matches the Rfam family "Bacterial small subunit ribosomal RNA", at positions 30 to 523 of the family's 1533-position model. The record is from RNAcentral.
AUUGAACGCUGGCGGCAGGCUUAACACAUGCAAGUCGAGCGGGGGAAGGUAGCUUGCUACCGGACCUAGCGGCGGACGGGUGAGUGAUGCUUAGGAAUCUGCCUAUUAGUGGGGGACAACAUCUCGAAAGGGAUGCUAAUACCGCAUACGUCCUACGGGAGAAAGCAGGGGAUCUUCGGACCUUGCGCUAAUAGAUGAGCCUAAGUCGGAUUAGCUAGUUGGUGGGGUAAAGGCCUACCAAGGCGACGAUCUGUAGCGGGUCUGAGAGGAUGAGCCGGCACACUGGGACUGGGACACGGCCCAGCCUCCUACGGGAGGCAGCAGUGGGGAAUAUUGGACAAUGGGGGGAACCCUGAUCCAGCCAUGCCGCGUGUGUGAAGAAGGCCUUAUGGUUGUAAAGCACUUUAAGCGAGGAGGAGGCUACUUUAGUUAAUACCUAGAGAUAGUGGACGUUACUCGCAGAAUAAGCACCGGCUAACUCUGUGCCAGCAGCCGCCGUAA